CUUUUAUCCCCCCUCUUUUGUCAAUACCAUGCAAAGCCAAGCCAGGAGGGAACCAGCUCAGCGACAUAUGCGUGGGUACACGUGGCACGUCUAAUUGAAAUAACUCCAAAAAGCAUGAAACACGAGAGAAGAGGGUCCAGUGAGAAUGAGGCACUGAAGAAACAAGAACCAAGGGAAAAAAGAACUGAUAACAAGGUUGCCCCUUUCCUUGGAAGUGACCAUGGCUGGGAGAACGAAGAGGCUGCACAAUGGAUGGUGAGAAACAAGAGGAAAAGAAUUCUCAGCGAGUGAUCAAGUCCACUGAGCCUCUUUAGGAAGCAUCUCUUAAUCGCCCAGGAACCUAUGCUUCAGGUGUUUUCACUGCUUUAAAGAAACUAGGUCUGAAAUCUACCAUCUGCUGCAGCCACAAGUGCAACUUAAAAGUAGGGCAAGCAACACCUUCCUUGCGACUGUCAAGCUGCCCAUGACUUCACGCUUUAAGUUCCUUCAAGGUUGCAAUGGUGAUACAAGCAACAUCUUUAGGUCUGCAAUACACUGCUGCAUUUAAAAGAAGGGUCACUGAUCAUCCUCUAUCCAAAGACGGGUAAUAUUGCUUCAUUCCGCUUACUGGUGAUGAGGCAUGGCAUCAACCUCCACCACAAAGUUUUCCUGCUGCCUCUAGGCAUCUCCCCACAGGUAUGGAAUUUCUCUUUUCUCCCCCCAUCACCAGGACCUUCAGUGCAGUGCCUGAA
Molecule: long non-coding RNA, 731 nt
Organism: Pristis pectinata (smalltooth sawfish)
Lineage: Eukaryota; Metazoa; Chordata; Chondrichthyes; Rhinopristiformes; Pristidae
Exons: 3
Source: RefSeq, a predicted model, not a curated record